This 1480-nucleotide ribosomal RNA is filed under the name metagenome. RNAcentral describes it as "SSU rRNA". It matches the Rfam family "Eukaryotic small subunit ribosomal RNA", at positions 20 to 1432 of the family's 1831-position model. The record is from RNAcentral.
GUAAUCAUAUGCUUGUCUCAAAGAUUAAGCCAUGCAUGUCUAAGUAUAAGUCCUAUACAGCGAAGCUGCGAAUGGCUCAUUAUAUCAGUUAUAAUCUACUUGAUCAAUAAAGUUACUUGGAUAACUGUAGGAAUUCUAGAGCUAAUACAUGCAAAAGGGUUGGAGCGGGGGUAACCUCGUGAAGACCGCGUUUACUAGCCCAGAAAUCAGCUCGGGGUAUUCCAAACUCCUCUCGGGGGGGCUCCGAAUCCGAAGGUGAACCACAGUAAUUACGCGAAUCGAAAACUUAGGUAUUCGAUGAUGCAAACGAGUUUCUGCCCUAUCAACUUUCAAUCGUAGUGUAGGGGACUACGAUGGUUGUAACGGGUACGGGGAAUUAGGGUUCGAUUCCGGAGAGUUAGCCUUAAAAAUAGCUAACAUUACCAAGGUAAGCAGCAGGCGCGUAAAUUAUCCAAUCCCAAUUCGGGGAGAUAGUGACAAGAAAUAUCGGUGUGGAGCCCUACGGGUUUCACGAUCGAAAUGAGUACAAUUUAAAAACCUUAACGAGGAACAAUUGGAGGGCAAGUCUGGUGCCAGCAGCCGCGGUAAUUCCAGCUCCAGUAGCGUAUAUUCAAGUUGUUGCGGUUAAAAAGCUCGUAGUUGGCUCUCGAGUUGGGGAGCGUCAGUCCCCUCCAUCUUUAUCGGUGGGGGGAUCAAGGCUGAGCAUCUCCUUCUCAUCAUCUGUGUCGUAAAACAGCUGGGCUUGCUCAGUUGGACUACAGGAAUUUACUUUGAAUAAAUUAGGGUGUUCAAAGCAGACGAAAUCGUCUUGAAUACAUUAGCAUGGGAUAAUAAAAUACGACUUUGGUCCAGUUUACUGGUUUCUAAGGCCGAGGUAAUGAUUAAUAGGGACAGUUGGGGUCGCUCGUACUCAGUGGUCAGAGGUGAAAUUCUAGGACCCACUGAAGACGAACAAGUGCGAAGGCAUUCGACAAGGAUGUUUUCAUUAAUCAAGAACGAAAGUUAUGGGAUCGAAGAUGAUCAGAUACCGUCGUAGUCAUAACCGUAAACUAUGUUGACUCGGGAUCUGUAGAAGUUACAUGGAUGACUCUACAGGCACCGUGUGUGAAAACAAAGUAUUCGAACUCCGGGGGGAGUAUGGUCGCAAGGCUGAAACUUAAAGGAAUUGACGGAAGGGCACCACCAGGAGUGGAAUAUGCGGCUUAAUUUGACCCAACACGGGGAAACUUACCCAGUCCGGACGCGAUGAGGAUUGACAGAUUGAUCGUUCUUUCUUGAUUUUGUGGGAGCCGGUGCAUGGCCGUUUUUAGUUGGUGGAGUGAUUUGUUUGGUUAAGUCCGAUAACGAACGAGACCUAAUUCUGCUAAAUAGUAAUGUGAACAAGGGAGUUGCUGGUGGGGUUGGGCUUGCCCGGCUUCGUCAGGGCUUCCACUCAUUUGUUGGCAUCGUUUAUACUUCUUAGAGAGACCCUUGGUGUUCC